GUGAUUUGAUUUGUCCUCUCCCAGAGAGAAGAAGCGCGAGAAGGAGCGCGACGAGCUGUGGAAGCGGCUGGGCGAGCUGGAGAUCAGCCACAAGCGCGGCGCGGGCGCGGCGCCGGCCAAGUGAUGCCGCCCCCAAGCCACACAUAGAAUACUGCGAUCCGUUUUAUUUCCAAGCGGCCGGCGGCGGCGCCCGGCACUCGAGCGCGACCACCGGCGCAUCAGUAUGUAUGUAUGUACACUAUGAAGAUGUUUGUUAUGUAAAAUGUAUUAACAUUGCAAAAAUUAUAUAUGAUCUUAAAUAUAAAUUACUAUUAUAGAACACAGUAUGAAAAUAAAAAAGUUGACUCACAUGAAUUGAAUUUUUUAAGUGUAAUGUAAGCGUAGGCGUCCCGCGCGCGGCGCCGCACUCCCGGCUACUUCCCCUAGUGACUACUCAGUUGCGCAACUGCAUUGGAAAUACACAAGAAAUUUUCACAUUA
Molecule: long non-coding RNA, 479 nt
Organism: Ostrinia furnacalis (Asian corn borer)
Lineage: Eukaryota; Metazoa; Arthropoda; Insecta; Lepidoptera; Crambidae
Exons: 2
Source: RefSeq, a predicted model, not a curated record